GAGCCCCAGGCGAAAUAGUUGCAGAUCAGGCCUUAUGGGCCUUUGGGCCUGCCUAACCCAUUGACAUCUCUGAAUAUGCUUGCAUACUUGAGAAGGUUUUGAUUUGAGGGUUAUUGGAUAUCUCUGAAUAUGCUUGCAUACUUGAGAAGGUUUCGAUUUGAGGGUUAUUGGAUUUUUUUUCCCGACUAAGACAAGUGUGAGGACUUAUGUGGGCAUAUAUUUAGUCCUACGUCGAUUAUUCGCUAGGUAGCUUUGGGGUACUUAUAUAGGAUCAAGGAGCUCAAAUAAUACCUUUCGGCCAGCUUUUUUGGAUGAGAUCAUUGAUUGUUACAAAUAGUAUCAGAGCGGAUCCGACCCAUAACCUAUGCGAACUAGGAAACAUUACAACACGGAUCUAUUGGUGCUGACAUGGGCCGAUUAUGGUACUUGUAAUUAUAUUUGAAUGGAUUUAAACUCUUAGCCUAAUGAGGAUGCCAGAGCUUAAACAAGAAGAGUAUGUGAGGAGCUGUGCAGAUAUGUGUUCAAUUCUACAUCGGUUAUUUAUUAGAUAAAU
This 553-nucleotide long non-coding RNA is filed under the name Phoenix dactylifera (date palm). Its description in RNAcentral is "long non-coding RNA (PDAC_LNC020116)". The record is from RNAcentral. Lineage: Eukaryota; Viridiplantae; Streptophyta; Magnoliopsida; Arecales; Arecaceae.